AGGGGAGUAGCUCAACUGGUAGAGCAGCGGUCUCCAAAACCGCAGGCUGCGGGUUCAAGUCCUGUCUCCCCUGCCA
This 76-nucleotide transfer RNA is filed under the name Bacillota bacterium. RNAcentral describes it as "tRNA-Trp". It matches the Rfam family "tRNA". From Rfam's summary of the family: Transfer RNA (tRNA) molecules are approximately 80 nucleotides in length. Their secondary structure includes four short double-helical elements and three loops (D, anti-codon, and T loops). RNAcentral also lists the same sequence under 1 other name. The record is from RNAcentral. Lineage: Bacteria; Bacillati; Bacillota.